AUUGAACGCUGGCGGCAGGCUUAACACAUGCAAGUCGAACGAGUGGCGGACGGGUGAGUAAAGUCUGGGAAACUGCCCGAUGGAGGGGGAUAACUACUGGAAACGGUAGCUAAUACCGCAUACCAUCGGAUGUGCCCCGAUGGGAUUCGCUAGUAGGUGGGGUAACGUCUCACCUAGGCGACGUUCCGUAGCUGGUCUGAGAGGAUGAGCAGCCAAACUGGAACUGAGACACGGUCCAGACUCCUACGGGAGGCAGCAGUGGGGAAUAUUGGACAAUGGGCGCAAGCCUGAUGCAGCCAUGCCGCGUGUAUGAAGAAGGCCUUCGGGUUGUAAAGUACUUUCAGCGAGGAGGCGUUACUCGCAGAAGAAGCACCGGCUAACUCCGUGCCAGCAGCCGCGGUAAUUC
This 406-nucleotide ribosomal RNA is filed under the name uncultured bacterium. RNAcentral's name for it is "partial 16S ribosomal RNA". It matches the Rfam family "Bacterial small subunit ribosomal RNA", at positions 30 to 526 of the family's 1533-position model. The record is from RNAcentral.